Molecule: ribosomal RNA, 301 nt
Filed under: uncultured bacterium
Lineage: Bacteria
Description: partial 16S ribosomal RNA
Rfam family: Bacterial small subunit ribosomal RNA
Source: RNAcentral
CAGCCGCCGCGGUAAUACGAAGGGGGCUAGCGUUGUUCGGAAUUACUGGGCGUAAAGCGCACGUAGGCGGAUCGAUCAGUCAGGGGUGAAAUCCCAGGGCUCAACCCUGGAACUGCCUUUGAUACUGUCGAUCUGGAGUAUGGAAGAGGUGAGUGGAAUUCCGAGUGUAGAGGUGAAAUUCGUAUAUAUUCGGAGGAACACCAGUGGCGAAGGCGGCUCACUGGUCCAUUACUGACGCUGAGGUGCGAAAGCGUGGGGAGCAAACAGGAUUAGAUACCCCCGUAGUCCCUGUCUCUUAUAC